Long non-coding RNA from Carassius carassius (crucian carp), 301 nucleotides. RefSeq lists it as uncharacterized. NCBI's taxonomy places the organism in Eukaryota, Metazoa, Chordata, Actinopteri, Cypriniformes, Cyprinidae. The record is from RefSeq and is a predicted model, not a curated record. The transcript is spliced from 3 exons.
AUUGCAGGUAUAAAUAUAACGCUGCAGGAAGGAUGCACUGAACAGACUACUCUAGAAUGUCUUCAAAAUCUUCUUGAGCAGAUCGAGAACGUCACAGCUCAAGAGCUUCCUGUGAAUACUGUGAUGGACAUUUUGAAUAUGGUCUUCAACACUGUAGAGAAGAUUUUAGAGUCAUUAUCAUCAGCAAGCCGAGCUGAACUAGCCUCCUAUGGAAACCGUGUGGUUAAAGCCAGUGAAAAACUCAUUUCUACAUUAGUGAAGCCGACAGACACAAAUGACAGUGUCAGUUUUGCUCUCGCUG